This 555-nucleotide ribosomal RNA is filed under the name uncultured Natronorubrum sp. RNAcentral's name for it is "bacterial SSU rRNA". It matches the Rfam family "Archaeal small subunit ribosomal RNA", at positions 325 to 879 of the family's 1478-position model. The record is from RNAcentral. Lineage: Archaea; Methanobacteriati; Methanobacteriota; Halobacteria; Halobacteriales; Natrialbaceae.
ACGGGGAGCAGCAGGCGCGAAACCCUUACACUGCACGCGAGUGCGAUAAGGGGACUCCGAGUGCGAGGGCAUAUAGUCCUCGCUUUUCACCACCGUAAGGUGGUGGUGGAAUAAGUGCUGGGCAAGACCGGUGCCAGCCGCCGCGGUAAUACCGGCAGCACGAGUGAUGACCGCUAUUAUUGGGCCUAAAGCGUCCGUAGCUGGCCGCACAAGUCUAUCGGGAAAUCUGCGUGCUUAACGCGCAGGCGUCCGGUGGAAACUGUGUGGCUUGGGACCGGAAGAUCCAGAGGGUACGUCUGGGGUAGGAGUGAAAUCCUGUAAUCCUGGACGGACCGCCGGUGGCGAAAGCGCUCUGGAAGGACGGAUCCGACGGUGAGGGACGAAAGCUCGGGUCACGAACCGGAUUAGAUACCCGGGUAGUCCGAGCUGUAAACGAUGUCUGCUAGGUGUGACACUGGCUACGAGCCAGUGUUGUGCCGCAGGGAAGCCGUGAAGCAGACCGCCUGGGAAGUACGUCCGCAAGGAUGAAACUUAAAGGAAUUGGCGGGGGAGCAC